GGGUGUGUAGCUCAGCUGGCAGAGCAGCGAUCUCCAAAGUCGCCGGUCGGGGGUUCAAAUCCCUCCGCACUCG
Molecule: transfer RNA, 73 nt
Filed under: Chlamydiota bacterium
Lineage: Bacteria; Pseudomonadati; Chlamydiota
Description: Chlamydiae bacterium (freshwater metagenome) tRNA-Trp
Rfam family: tRNA
About the family: Transfer RNA (tRNA) molecules are approximately 80 nucleotides in length. Their secondary structure includes four short double-helical elements and three loops (D, anti-codon, and T loops).
Source: RNAcentral